Molecule: long non-coding RNA, 273 nt
Filed under: Rattus norvegicus (Norway rat)
Lineage: Eukaryota; Metazoa; Chordata; Mammalia; Rodentia; Muridae
Description: long non-coding RNA NONRATT033552
Source: RNAcentral
AAAACAAUAAAUUAUUGAUGCAUAUGGCCGAAAAUGCUCACCCCUAUGUUUCUUAUAGCAGAAAACAGUAUCAACUAUCUGGAUAGCCACCAAGAGCAGACCAGUUUUAUAGUCAAUGAUGAAUUCGUACAGAUACGGCCACAUCUUUUUGAGCAGAGUCAGCGUCAUCCCUGAGACAUGAUGGUGAAGGUUGGAAAGAACAGGACUUAUUGGGUGUCUGCUUACCAGGGCUGCCUGCUACUCUGCAAGGUGGAGAUUGCUGCCAUCAAUGAC